Molecule: ribosomal RNA, 468 nt
Filed under: uncultured bacterium
Lineage: Bacteria
Description: partial 16S ribosomal RNA
Rfam family: Bacterial small subunit ribosomal RNA
Source: RNAcentral
GACGAACGCUGGCGGCGUGCUUAACACAUGCAAGUCGAACGGAAAGGCCCUGCUUUUGUGGGGUGCUCGAGGGGCGAACUGGUGAGUAACACGUGAGUAACCUGCCCUUGACUUUGGGAUAACUUCAUGAAACUGGGGCUAAUACCGGAUAGGAGCUCCUGCUGCAUGGUGGGGGUUGGAAAGUUUCGGCGGUUGGGGAUGGACUCGCGUCUUAUCAGCUUGUUGGUUGGGUAGUGGCUUACCAAGGCCUGGACGGGUGGCAGGCCUGAGAGGGUGACCGGCCACACUGGGACUGGAAUGAGGCACAGACUCGUCCGGGAGGGAGCAGUGCGGAAUAUUGCACAAUGGGCGGAAGGCUGAUGCAGCCAAGCAGCGUGCGGGAUGACGGCCUUCGGGUUGUAAACCGCUUUCGCCUGUGACGAAGCGUGAGUGACGGUAAUGGGUAAAGAAGCACCGGCUAACUCCGUG